This 207-nucleotide ribosomal RNA is filed under the name uncultured bacterium. RNAcentral describes it as "partial 16S ribosomal RNA". It matches the Rfam family "Bacterial small subunit ribosomal RNA", at positions 568 to 774 of the family's 1533-position model. The record is from RNAcentral.
UGCGCAGGCGGUUGUGUAAGACAGGUGUGAAAUCCCCGGGCUUAACCUGGGAAUUGCAUUUGUGACUGCGCGACUAGAGUGUGUCAGAGGGGGGUGGAAUUCCACGUGUAGCAGUGAAAUGCGUAGAUAUGUGGAGGAACACCAAUGGCGAAGGCAGCCCCCUGGGAUAACACUGACGCUCAUGCACGAAAGCGUGGGGAGCAAACA